GAUGAACGCUGGCGGCGUGCCUAAUACAUGCAAGUCGAGCGAACGGACGAGAAGCUUGCUUCUCUGAUGUUAGCGGCGGACGGGUGAGUAACACGUGGAUAACCUACCUAUAAGACUGGGAUAACUUCGGGAAACCGUAGCUAAUACCGGAUAAUAUUUUGAACCGCAUGGUUCAAAAGUGAAAGACGGUCUUGCUGUCACUUAUAGAUGGAUCCGCGCUGCAUUAGAUAGUUGGUAAGGUAACGGCUUACCAAGGCAACGAUGCAUAGCCGACCUGAGAGGGUGAUCGGCCACACUGGAACUGAGACACGGUCCAGACUCCUACGGGAGGCAGCAGUAGGGAAUCUUCCGCAAUGGGCGAAAGCCUGACGGAGCAACGCCGCGUGAGUGAUGAAGGUCUUCGGAUCGUAAAACUCUGUUAUUAGGGAAGAACGUAUGUGUAAGUAACUGUGCACAUCUUGACGGUACCUAAUCAGAAAGCCACGGCUAACUACGUG
This 497-nucleotide ribosomal RNA is filed under the name uncultured bacterium. RNAcentral describes it as "partial 16S ribosomal RNA". It matches the Rfam family "Bacterial small subunit ribosomal RNA", at positions 28 to 507 of the family's 1533-position model. The record is from RNAcentral.